UGCCUUCUUUUUUUAUGUCCGGGGAUUCAUAAAUAUCCUUAGGGAUGCUGGCAUAGUCCCCACUGCUCGGCUGUUCUUCCACUUCUUCACAUUCCAAAAUCCGAAGAAGGGCAGCCCUUUUAUUGCAUGUGCCAGCCGUGCUACCUCUAUUACUCACUCUGCCCUCUUGAAAGAUCCUCCGACCAGACGGAGCAAGAGUGAGUUCAUUUUUGUGGAUUGCAGGUUAUGCCCUGGUAGCAGACUUCUUCCUGCAUCCACUAGUGGCCGUAAACCCAUUCCUCGUCCUGAUCUGACUGAGGAUGAGGGAGCUUCCGUGCAAAAGCUGGCCUUUUUGCAUCCUAUCGCUGUGCCUGUCGGUCACGCGAUUGAAGAUACUUUUAACCGACAAGGUCUUCCUUUGCCUGUUUUCCUUUUUAUGUUUUUUAUACACAUAUAUAUUUUCUAACUCUGUUUUUAUUCUUUGCAGAUUUUUAUAUGCACAACCCUGGAGGUGUCCCUGAACGCGUUGGGCAAAACGAAACGGGCUCCAAGGUUUACGCAGCUGCCUCCAAGCCUUCUGAUGCUGAUCAUCUGAGGCAGCGUGCUCUAGAGAACGCCUACACUAUGGCGAAGUCCCCUACUCCUCCUGACGAGGUCCAACGAGCUGAGGACGGGGAGGUACCUCCGGAGGUACCUAAAGAUGCUACUCCUGGG
This 693-nucleotide long non-coding RNA is filed under the name Zostera marina. Its description in RNAcentral is "long non-coding RNA (ZMAR_LNC004345)". The record is from RNAcentral. Lineage: Eukaryota; Viridiplantae; Streptophyta; Magnoliopsida; Alismatales; Zosteraceae.